This 3353-nucleotide long non-coding RNA is filed under the name Gossypium barbadense (sea-island cotton). RNAcentral's name for it is "long non-coding RNA (GBAR_LNC012487)". The record is from RNAcentral. Lineage: Eukaryota; Viridiplantae; Streptophyta; Magnoliopsida; Malvales; Malvaceae.
AGAGUGAAUAAAAUUUUUCUUUAUUGAAAUCUUGUUGUCAUUCACGUGCUUUCCUACAUUACAUUGCAUUACAUUAUAAAGUGAGGAAAAAAUUCAACACUCCUUAGAUAUAUCUCUUGGAUUGGGGAAAAAAUUGGAAAUACAUCUCCAUAAAAAAUUAGUCUCUCAGCCUUACCAAUAGCCUGUUAAAUUUAGUCGUGAUUGGAUGAGUAGAUAUCCAUCCAACUGCAGUAGGUCUGGACUAAUAUCAUCACCUGAUCAUGAUAGUAAAAAGGAAUCGAGCCUAUUAAAAAUUUGAAAAUAAUUAUUUAACAAAGUGGCAAACAUCUAGAAUAAAUAAAUGAAUUUAAAUAACUAAGAUGCAUCAUCAAACUGCAGGUCAAAACCUACAGCUAAAAAUGCCAAAAAAUAUAACACAAACAACAUUUUGCAGGAGACCAAAAAAGAUACAUGACAAAUGCACUUAAAUGGGGCAUGCAUACCCAUGUUACGCCAGUGCAUGAAAACUUACCUAAACAAUGCCCAGAACAUCAAUAAGCCUACACCUUGCAAAGGAAACAACAAAUGCAAAGAAAUAUUAUAGCACUACAAUUGAAUUUUCUCCACCAAUGAAGAUGGUUAUUUCAAGCAAACAAAUGGCUGUGAGUUUUAAUUGAUUUGUGCAUUCAUGAAGCUAAGAAGAAGAGCACAUAUGAAUUUCUCGAUGGACAUCUCCCCUCCAAAGAGAUCACAAUGAGUUACAUAUCAAGAAACUACCAUUAUAGAGAAAUGCCAGUACAGAGAUCAUAAGCAACCUCUAACACCCAAUAAUACUCAAAAUGAAAUAUUUUAUAUCAAAUGUAUGCCUUACUAGCUUUGCUAGUGAGGAAUUGAAUAAAUAUAUAAUCUUGGGAAAAAAAAAGUAGUUUGAAAAAGAGACUCUCGCUAGAUUACUUUUGCAGUAAAACCUGUUUUAGCAUUUACUAAAUCCAAUCGGAGAUUUUCAUAAUAUUUAUACCGAAUUAAUACGCAUAGAAAUGAGCUGCUUAAGAUUACAAAAUUUAUGUUAGAGAAAGUGAAUAAACCGACAGCUGGCUUUGUCAAUACUGUAUGAACAUAGAACUCAUAAGAUGAUGACUGUUUAGAGCUAAUAAAAAUUGGAAGACUUUGAACUUUUGUUUUUAUUAAAACAUGGUAUUAUACUUGUGCUGGAAAGGCUACACUCUGGCAUUUGGCAACCCCUUCAUUUGUCUUUUUUUUUUAUACCUCAUAAUAAUAAUCUACUUAGAAUUCAGAUUGACUUUGCAUCACUAGUUUUAGGCAUCGUUUACCCUAUAUCAAAUCAACAAAUUAAGCUAUUACUACCAUUUUCAAGGAACCAGCUUAACUAAUCUCAAAGGUUCUAACAAACUCAAUUUACAAAAGCUAAAAAUAACAAGUAUAGCUUAAAUUAAGUUGUCCUAUUAUUUUCCAUUUUGAUAACUGCAAAAACAUGAUUUCUGCUAAGAGUAAGCAACAGACAGUAUAGAAAAUAAAGAAAAGAGUCGGUUGUAAAGUAAUCAUUUAUGUUGAAAGAUCAAAAACAGAUAAUCCAGAAAUAGACAAGAAUGAAGGGACGUGCCUGGGCUUGGAAAUGUCGGUUUUAUUACAGAUUUAAUAUGCAUAGAAAUGAGCUACUUAAGACUGCAAAAUUUAUGUUAGAGAAAAUGAAUAAACCGACAGCUGACUUUGUCAAUACAAAAUAAACUCAAUUUCAUUUGUUUAAUCUUUUUUUCCAAUAACACUAAUUUGAAAUUAAAUUAAUAAGAUGACAUAAUCAAAAAUCUUUCUAAAAAAAGUGUUAUAUAGAUCUACUUAUCAGUAAUCAUGCAGCAAAUGGCUAUCAAAUCAAAGCUUGUUAUUUUGUUUUUCUGUAUAUAAACAAAUUAAGCAUGCUUCCACAUUUUCAUUUUGUUCCCAUAGAUUUUUUUGGCUAGGUAGAAAAAAGAAAUAGCUUUUCUUUCUUUUUGGCCUAGGGAUAAUGAAACAAGUUAUGGAGUCUUAGAAUUAAACCGAGGGGUAAAAUGUCUAAAUAUAAAAGAAACUGGAAAUUAAACAAAAGAGUACUUUUAGUACUAUAUGAGUGAACUAUUACUAAGAUGCAUAACAAAAUCAAUGUGAAAUCUAAUAUAAAAGUUUAUGCAAAAUAUAUUUUUAAUUUUAUUCAUGCUACUUGAGUCCAUAACUAGUAUCUAUAUUUUCUUUUUCUCUUUUAUCACCUAAGGUUUUUGUUUUUUAUCUAUGGAUUUUCUGUAACCAAGAUCCAUGGUUAUUUAAGAGAAGAUUAUAUGAAAGGUUAUAUAGUCCACCAACAACAACAAUAAGUUUUGGAAGAGAAUAUGUCUAAAUUGACUUGUGCAUCUGGUGAAGCCAGUGUUUCUUCAGCUGCUGGUGGAACCAACUAUUCUCAAAAAUACUUUAGUAACCCACCAGCUCAAGAUCAACCAGUUAAGAGAAAGAGGAACCAACCAGGCAAUCUAGGUUUGUUUGGGUUCAAACUUCACAACCCUUAUCUUAAAACACUGUUACUUUUAUUACUUUUAUUUUUUUAUUUGUUUUCUUAACUAAGACUUUUGUUUUGAAUCAGACCCAGAUGCAGAAGUGAUAGCUUUGUCACCUAAAACACUAAUGACUACAAAUAGAUUUGUGUGUGAGAUCUGCAACAAAAGGGUUUCAAAGAGACCAGAACCUUCAGCUUCAAAUUAAGCUAUUACUACCAAAAUCAAAAAAUCAACAAAAAUGAAAAUAACAAGGAACCAGCUUAACUAAUCUCAAAGGUUCUAACAAACCCAAUUUACAGAAGCUGCAAAACAUGAUUUCUGCUAAGAGUAAGCAACAGACAAUAUAGAAAACAAAGAAAAGAGCCGGUUGUAAAGUAAUCAUUUAUGUUGAAAGAUCAAAAACAGAUAAUCCAGAAAUGGACAAGAAUGAAGGGACGUGCUUGGGCUUAAAAACGCCGAUUUUUAUCGGUUUUAGCGAGAACGUCGAGAUACUCUGCUUCUUCAAGGCUCUGCCAUUGUUUCUUUCGAUGAAUCAGUAAGAAACACACCCGUUUAACCAUAAAACAAAAAUGAAAAGGCAAAAGACAAAGUUCAAGUUAAGAUGAUGAAGGAAGAUGAUGUGAAGGAAGCAGAAGCAAAAAUGUUUACCUGACCUUGGAUGAAGGGGAGGAAUGCCGGAGUCGAAGAGUACGUGAAAUGGUUGCCGAUUGAGAGUGUUUUUGAGGUGAAAUUUUGGUAAGGGUAAAAGAGGGUUAUUCAAGCAAUGAAUAGCUAAACGGUAAAGAGGGAAGGGAAUAGAAAUCCCCAAAAAUCUCUGCUUAAGCCCAAAAUGGA